Molecule: long non-coding RNA, 803 nt
Organism: Leopardus geoffroyi (Geoffroy's cat)
Lineage: Eukaryota; Metazoa; Chordata; Mammalia; Carnivora; Felidae
Exons: 3
Source: RefSeq, a predicted model, not a curated record
UAAAAGAAAGGCUCAAAGAGGAAGAUGGCAGCGUAUGAGGACGCUGGGUUCACCGCCUCCUGCUGAUCACUUAGAUUCCACCCACACCUGCCUAAAUAACCCAGAAAACCACCAGAAGACUAGCAGAAAGGAUUCUCCAGAGCCAAGAAUAGAUGAGAGGCCCACAUAAGAGGGUAGGAAGGGCAGAGAGGCAGUGCACGCUACACGGACUGGCAGGAGGGAGCCAGGACGGAGGGGCAGCCAGCUGGCAAAGCAGAGCCGGCAGAGUCUGGCUUGCAAAAGUGGAGGGGCCAGACGGAGUGUGUUCGGACAGCAAGCGGGACUUAACAUCUGGAAGGUUAUAAGCUAACAGCUCUGCUUGGAGAGCAGAAGGGCUGGAAGACAACGAGAGGGAGAGUUGUUGAGCCCUGGAUGACAGAGAUCAGCUUGGCAGGGAACAAAGGUCAUCGCCAGCGCCAUCUCCCUCAUCCAUCCCCCAGACAAAAUCCCAAAGGGAACAAGUUCCUGCCAGGGCACUUGCUUGCACCUGGCAAACACCCAACACUGUGCUUCUGCGGAUCCAUCCCUCCAGCAGCCGGGCUGACUCCCUCCAGGAGCCACAGGGCCUCUCCUGAAGUGGAUCACCAAAGGAUUAUGAGCUGAACCUACCCCUCCCACCCCUGUGCAACUUGCUGAUCUACCCCAGCUAAUACAUCAGAUCCCCAGCACCACAAGACUGGCAGUGUGCAAGUAGCCCAGAUGGGCCACACCACCCCACAGUGAUCCCUGCCUCUAGGAAAGGGGAAGUGAAAGUACACACCAAU